RNAcentral lists this ribosomal RNA (506 nucleotides) under uncultured bacterium. RNAcentral's name for it is "partial 16S ribosomal RNA". It matches the Rfam family "Bacterial small subunit ribosomal RNA", at positions 28 to 523 of the family's 1533-position model. The record is from RNAcentral.
GAUGAACGCUAGCUACAGGCUUAACACAUGCAAGUCGAGGGGUAACAAGAGGAAAGCUUGCUUUCCUUGUUGACGACCGGCGCACGGGUGAGUAACGCGUAUCCAACCUGCCUAUAACUAGGGAAUAACCUUGCGAAAGUAAGACUAAUACCCUAUGAUUUCCUUUGAUGACAUCAGAUUAGGAAUAAAGAUUUAUCGGUUAUAGAUGGGGAUGCGUCUGAUUAGCUUGUUGGCGGGGUAACGGCCCACCAAGGCAACGAUCAGUAGGGGUUCUGAGAGGAAGGUCCCCCACAUUGGAACUGAGACACGGUCCAAACUCCUACGGGGGGCAGCAGUGAGGAAUAUUGGUCAAUGGGCGGAAGCCUGAACCAGCCAAGUAGCGUGCAGGAUGACGGCCCUAUGGGUUGUAAACUGCUUUUAUACAGGAAUAAAGUUGGCCACGUGUGGUUAUUUGUAGGUACUGUAUGAAUAAGGACCGGCUAAUUCCGUGCCAGCAGCCGCGGUAA